AGAGUUUGAUCCUGGCUCAGGAUUAACGCUAGCGGCAGGCCUAAUACAUGCAAGUCGAACGGUAACAGCGGAGCUUGCUCCGGCUGACGAGUGGCGCACGGGUGCGUAACGCGUAUGCAACCUACCUUUAACUGGGGAAUAGCUCAGAGAAAUCUGAAUUAAUACCGCAUAAUAUUAUUGAUUGGCAUCUUUCGAUAAUCAAAACUCCGGUGGUUAAAGAUGGGCAUGCGUGACAUUAGCUUGAUGGUGAGGUAACGGCUCACCAUGGCUACGAUGUCUAGGGGGUCUGAGAGGAUGAUCCCCCACACUGGUACUGAGACACGGACCAGACUCCUACGGGAGGCAGCAGUAAGGAAUAUUGGGCAAUGGACGAAAGUCUGACCCAGCCAUGCCGCGUGCAGGAUGAAGGCCCUCUGGGUCGUAAACUGCUUUUAUAUAGGAAGAAACCCUCGUACGUGUACGAGGCUGACGGUACUAUAAGAAUAAGGAUCGGCUAACUCCGUGCCAGCAGCCGCGGUAAUACGGAGGAUCCAAGCGUUAUCCGGAUUUAUUGGGUUUAAAGGGUGCGUAGGCGGAUUAAUAAGUCAGUGGUGAAAGCCUGCAGCUUAACUGUAGAACUGCCAUUGAUACUGUUAAUCUUGAAUUCAGUUGAGGUAGGCGGAAUGUGUCAUGUAGCGGUGAAAUGCUUAGAUAUGACACAGAACACCAAUUGCGAAGGCAGCUUGCUAAACUGAUAUUGACGCUGAGGCACGAAAGCGUGGGGAGCGAACAGGAUUAGAUACCCUGGUAGUCCACGCCCUAAACGAUGAUUACUCGAUGUGUGCAAUACACCGUACGCGUCUAAGCGAAAGCGUUAAGUAAUCCACCUGGGAAGUACGUUCGCAAGAAUGAAACUCAAAGGAAUUGACGGGGGCCCGCACAAGCGGAGGAGCAUGUGGUUUAAUUCGAUGAUACGCGAGGAACCUUACCUGGGCUUGAAAGUUAGUGAAUAACUUAGAAACAAGUUAGUCAGCAAUGACACGAAACUAGGUGCUGCAUGGUUGUCGUCAGCUCGUGCCGUGAGGUGUUGGGUUAAGUCCCGUAACGAGCGCAACCCUUAUCAUUAGUUACCAGCGAGUAAUGUCGGGGACUCUAAUGAGACUGCCUACGCAAGUAGUGAGGAAGGUGGGGAUGACGUCAAAUCAUCACGGCCCUUACGUCCAGGGCUACACACGUGCUACAAUGGACGGUACAGUAGGUCGCUACAUGGCAACAUGAUGCUAAUCCGAAAAGCCGUUCUCAGUUCGGAUUGAAGUCUGCAACUCGACUUCAUGAAGGCGGAUUCGCUAGUAAUCGCACAUCAGCAAUGGUGCGGUGAAUACGUUCCCGGGCCUUGUACACACCGCCCGUCAAGCCAUGGAAGCCGGGGGUACCUAAAGUCGGUAACCGCAAGGAGCUGCCUAGGGUAAAACUGGUAACUGGGGCUAAGUCGUAACAAGGUA
Molecule: ribosomal RNA, 1481 nt
Filed under: uncultured Bacteroidota bacterium
Lineage: Bacteria; Pseudomonadati; Bacteroidota
Description: bacterial SSU rRNA
Rfam family: Bacterial small subunit ribosomal RNA
Source: RNAcentral